This 263-nucleotide long non-coding RNA is filed under the name Piliocolobus tephrosceles (Ugandan red Colobus). RNAcentral's name for it is "lncRNA (ENSPTEG00000015933.1)". Lineage: Eukaryota; Metazoa; Chordata; Mammalia; Primates; Cercopithecidae. The record is from RNAcentral.
CACGUGAGGCCUCCGUGGCGACCUGACCCCGGCAGAGGGUGCUGGCGCUUCCUGCUGGACGGAGGGAGUUUCUGCAAUCAGAAUUAUCUUUUCAGGACAAAGCUUCGACCUGAGACCUUUCCAAGAAGUCUUAAAUUGAGCACAUUUACAAGAUGAAAAUGUCCCCAUCAUCGUUCAUCCUGUGGACAGUCCUGGAAGUUAUGAAUGGGGAUAAUGUAGGGAUGCUGUAUGUCUCCACCCUACAAGCACAAAUUCAGCGUGAA